This 430-nucleotide unclassified non-coding RNA is filed under the name soil metagenome. RNAcentral describes it as "partial contains 5.8S ribosomal RNA, internal transcribed spacer 2, and large subunit ribosomal RNA". The stretch from base 1 to 120 matches the Rfam family "5.8S ribosomal RNA", at positions 35 to 154 of the family's 154-position model. The record is from RNAcentral.
GAUGAAGAACGUAGCGAAAUGCGAUACGUAAUGUGAAUUGCAGAAUUCAGUGAAUCAUCGAAUCUUUGAACGCAUAUUGCGCUCUCUGGUAUUCCGGAGAGCAUGCUUGUUUGAGUAUCAGUAAACACCUCAACUCCCUUUUCUUUUUUGAAAUUGGAGCUGGACUUGAGUGAUCCCAACGCUUUCUUCCAAGAAAGUGGCGGGUUGCUUGAAAUGCAGGUGCAGCUGAACUUUUCUCUGAGCUAUAAGCAUAUCUAUUUAGUCUGCCUAAAAAACAGAUUAUUACCUUUGCUGCAGCUAACAAAAAGGAGACUAGUUCUUGUGCUGACUGAUGCAGGAUUCACAGAGACAGCUUCGGCUGACUUUGUAAACUCGAUCUCAAAUCAAGUAAGACUACCCGCUGAACUUAAGCAUAUCAAUAAGCGGAGGA